GCGCUUGUAGCUCAACGGAUAGAGCGCAGCCCUGCGAAGGCUGAGGUUGUGGGUUCAAUUCCCGCCAAGCGCGCCA
This 76-nucleotide transfer RNA is filed under the name Chloroflexota bacterium. Its description in RNAcentral is "tRNA-Arg". It matches the Rfam family "tRNA". From Rfam's summary of the family: Transfer RNA (tRNA) molecules are approximately 80 nucleotides in length. RNAcentral also lists the same sequence under 1 other name. The record is from RNAcentral. Lineage: Bacteria; Bacillati; Chloroflexota.